This 582-nucleotide ribosomal RNA is filed under the name Escherichia coli. RNAcentral describes it as "partial 23S ribosomal RNA". It matches the Rfam family "Bacterial large subunit ribosomal RNA", at positions 880 to 1459 of the family's 2925-position model. The record is from RNAcentral. Lineage: Bacteria; Pseudomonadati; Pseudomonadota; Gammaproteobacteria; Enterobacterales; Enterobacteriaceae.
CCUCGUGAAUUCAUCUCCGGGGGUAGAGCACUGUUUCGGCAAGGGGGUCAUCCCGACUUACCAACCCGAUGCAAACUGCGAAUACCGGAGAAUGUUAUCACGGGAGACACACGGCGGGUGCUAACGUCCGUCGUGAAGAGGGAAACAACCCAGACCGCCAGCUAAGGUCCCAAAGUCAUGGUUAAGUGGGAAACGAUGUGGGAAGGCCCAGACAGCCAGGAUGUUGGCUUAGAAGCAGCCAUCAUUUAAAGAAAGCGUAAUAGCUCACUGGUCGAGUCGGCCUGCGCGGAAGAUGUAACGGGGCUAAACCAUGCACCGAAGCUGCGGCAGCGACACUGUGUGUUGUUGGGUAGGGGAGCGUUCUGUAAGCCUGUGAAGGUGUGCUGUGAGGCAUGCUGGAGGUAUCAGAAGUGCGAAUGCUGACAUAAGUAACGAUAAAGCGGGUGAAAAGCCCGCUCGCCGGAAGACCAAGGGUUCCUGUCCAACGUUAAUCGGGGCAGGGUGAGUCGACCCCUAAGGCGAGGCCGAAAGGCGUAGUCGAUGGGAAACAGGUUAAUAUUCCUGUACUUGGUGUUACUGCGA